This 253-nucleotide ribosomal RNA is filed under the name uncultured bacterium. RNAcentral describes it as "partial 16S ribosomal RNA". It matches the Rfam family "Bacterial small subunit ribosomal RNA", at positions 524 to 776 of the family's 1533-position model. The record is from RNAcentral.
UACGUAGGGGGCAAGCGUUGUCCGGAAUUAUUGGGCGUAAAGCGCGUGUAGGCGGCCAGAAAAGUCCGCUGUGAAAACUCGAGGCUCAACUUCGAGCUGUCGGUGUAAACUUUCUGGCUAGAGUCCGGAAGAGGAGAAUGGAAUUCCUGGUGUAGCGGUGAAAUGCGCAGAUAUCAGGAAGAACACCCGUGGCGAAGGCGGUUCUCUGGGACGGUACUGACGCUGAGACGCGAAAGCGUGGGGAGCGAACAGG